This 440-nucleotide ribosomal RNA is filed under the name uncultured bacterium. RNAcentral's name for it is "partial 16S ribosomal RNA". It matches the Rfam family "Bacterial small subunit ribosomal RNA", at positions 338 to 795 of the family's 1533-position model. The record is from RNAcentral.
CCUACGGGAGGCUGCAGUGGGGAAUAUUGCACAAUGGGGGAAACCCUGAUGCAGCGACGCCGCGUGAGUGAAGAAGUAUUUCGGUAUGUAAAGCUCUAUCAGCAGGGAAGAAAAUGACGGUACCUGAUUAAGAAGCACCGGCUAACUACGUGCCAGCAGCCGCGGUAAUACGUAGGGGGCAAGCGUUAUCCGGAUUUACGGGGUGUAAAGGGAGCGUAGACGGCAGCACAAGUCUGGAGUGAAAUGCCGGGGCUUAACCCCGGAACUGCGUUGGAAACUGUGCAGCUAGAGUGCAGGAGAGGUGAGUGGAAUUCCUAGUGUAGCGGUGAAAUGCGUAGAUAUUAGGAGGAACACCAGUGGCGAAGGCGGCUUACUGGACUGUAACUGACGUUGAGGCUCGAAAGCGUGGGGAGCGAACAGGAUUAGAUACCCCUGUAGUC